This 358-nucleotide unclassified non-coding RNA is filed under the name fungal sp. RNAcentral's name for it is "partial internal transcribed spacer region". The stretch from base 1 to 46 matches the Rfam family "Eukaryotic small subunit ribosomal RNA", at positions 1786 to 1831 of the family's 1831-position model. The record is from RNAcentral. Lineage: Eukaryota; Fungi.
AAGUCGUAACAAGGUUUCCGUAGGUGAACCUGCGGAAGGAUCAUUAACACGUAUCCAACGUUAAACAACCCUGUGAACGCUCUUGUAGCCCACGCGGAACAGCAAUCCCGGUAAAUCAAUUGGAGAAAAGGUUUUGAUUCGGGACCUCUGUCCAUCAGGCUACAAUCGAGCUAGGAUUCCCUAAGAGUGCAGAAGGAUCCACUGGAGUAAGGAUAACGCCUCACGGUUGCCAGAGGUCGAUCACCGGCCGGCAGACAUGUCACAGGGCUAUAUGCCCCCUCAUUCACACCCUAUCUGGCCCCACGGAAACGUUGGGGCACAAACCGAACAACUGUUAACAAUGGAUAUCUUGGUUCUC